RNAcentral lists this microRNA (22 nucleotides) under Gallus gallus (chicken). RNAcentral's name for it is "Gga-Mir-205-P2_3p* (star (passenger))". Lineage: Eukaryota; Metazoa; Chordata; Aves; Galliformes; Phasianidae. The record is from RNAcentral.
GAUUUCAGUGAAAUGAAGCCCA